RNAcentral lists this microRNA precursor (67 nucleotides) under Marmota marmota marmota (Alpine marmot). RNAcentral describes it as "mir-1264 microRNA precursor family". It matches the Rfam family "mir-1264 microRNA precursor family". RNAcentral also lists the same sequence under 5 other names. The record is from Rfam by way of RNAcentral. Lineage: Eukaryota; Metazoa; Chordata; Mammalia; Rodentia; Sciuridae.
AGGUCUUCAAUAAGUAUUUGUUGAAAGAAUAAAUGAACCAACAAGUCUUAUUUGAGCACCUGUUAUG